Molecule: ribosomal RNA, 850 nt
Filed under: Staphylococcus sp. DFM92
Lineage: Bacteria; Bacillati; Bacillota; Bacilli; Caryophanales; Staphylococcaceae
Description: bacterial SSU rRNA
Rfam family: Bacterial small subunit ribosomal RNA
Source: RNAcentral
GACGGGUGAGUAACACGUGGGUAACCUACCUAUAAGACUGGAAUAACUCCGGGAAACCGGGGCUAAUGCCGGAUAACAUUUAGAACCGCAUGGUUCUAAAGUGAAAGAUGGUUUUGCUAUCACUUAUAGAUGGACCCGCGCCGUAUUAGCUAGUUGGUAAGGUAACGGCUUACCAAGGCAACGAUACGUAGCCGACCUGAGAGGGUGAUCGGCCACACUGGAACUGAGACACGGUCCAGACUCCUACGGGAGGCAGCAGUAGGGAAUCUUCCGCAAUGGGCGAAAGCCUGACGGAGCAACGCCGCGUGAGUGAUGAAGGUCUUCGGAUCGUAAAACUCUGUUAUUAGGGAAGAACAAAUGUGUAAGUAACUAUGCACGUCUUGACGGUACCUAAUCAGAAAGCCACGGCUAACUACGUGCCAGCAGCCGCGGUAAUACGUAGGUGGCAAGCGUUAUCCGGAAUUAUUGGGCGUAAAGCGCGCGUAGGCGGUUUCUUAAGUCUGAUGUGAAAGCCCACGGCUCAACCGUGGAGGGUCAUUGGAAACUGGGAAACUUGAGUGCAGAAGAGGAAAGUGGAAUUCCAUGUGUAGCGGUGAAAUGCGCAGAGAUAUGGAGGAACACCAGUGGCGAAGGCGACUUUCUGGUCUGUAACUGACGCUGAUGUGCGAAAGCGUGGGGAUCAAACAGGAUUAGAUACCCUGGUAGUCCACGCCGUAAACGAUGAGUGCUAAGUGUUAGGGGGUUUCCGCCCCCUUAGUGCUGCAGCUAACGCAUUAAGCACUCCGCCUGGGGAGUACGACCGCAAGGUUGAAACUCAAAGGAAUUGACGGGGACCCGCACAAGCGGUGGA